GAUCAUGGCUCAGGAUGAACGCUAGCUACAGGCUUAACACAUGCAAGUCGAGGGGAAACGACAUCGAAAGCUUGCUUUUGAUGGGCGUCGACCGGCGCACGGGUGAGUAACGCGUAUCCAACCUGCCCACCACUUGGGGAUAACCUUGCGAAAGUAAGACUAAUACCCGAUGAUAUCCCUAGACGACAUCUGAAAGGGAUUAAAGAUUUAUCGGUGAUGGAUGGGGAUGCGUCUGAUUAGCUUGUUGGCGGGGUAACGGCCCACCAAGGCGACGAUCAGUAGGGGUUCUGAGAGGAAGGUCCCCCACAUUGGAACUGAGACACGGUCCAAACUCCUACGGGAGGCAGCAGUGAGGAAUAUUGGUCAAUGGGCGAGAGCCUGAACCAGCCAAGUAGCGUGCAGGACGACGGCCCUAUGGGUUGUAAACUGCUUUUAUAAGGGAAUAAAGUGAGUCUCGUGAGGCUUUUUGCAUGUACCUUAUGAAUAAGGACCGGCUAAUUCCGUG
RNAcentral lists this ribosomal RNA (505 nucleotides) under uncultured bacterium. RNAcentral describes it as "bacterial SSU rRNA". It matches the Rfam family "Bacterial small subunit ribosomal RNA", at positions 15 to 507 of the family's 1533-position model. The record is from RNAcentral.